This 397-nucleotide ribosomal RNA is filed under the name uncultured bacterium. RNAcentral's name for it is "partial 16S ribosomal RNA". It matches the Rfam family "Bacterial small subunit ribosomal RNA", at positions 523 to 918 of the family's 1533-position model. The record is from RNAcentral.
AUACGUAGGUGACAAGCGUUAUCCGGAUUUACUGGGCGUAAAGGGCGUGUAGGCGGUCUUGCAAGUCAGAAGUGAAAUUCCUGAGCUCAACUCGGGCGCUGCUUCUGAAACUGCAGGACUUGAGUGCUGGAGGGGAUAGCGGAAUUCCUAGUGGAGCGGUAAAAUGCGCAGACAUUAGGAAGAACACCGGUGGCGAAGGCGGAUAUCUGGACAGUAACUGAAGCUGGGGCUCGAAAGCGUGGGGAGAAAACAGGAUGAGAUUCCCUGGUAGUCCAAGCCGUAAACGAUGAAUACUAGGUGUAGGGGGUAUCGACUCCCUCUGUGCCGCAGUUAACACAAUAAGUAGUCCGCCUGGGGAGUACGGCCGCAAGGUUGAAACUCAAAUGAAUUGGCGGGG